Molecule: non-coding RNA, 1373 nt
Organism: Hydra vulgaris (swiftwater hydra)
Lineage: Eukaryota; Metazoa; Cnidaria; Hydrozoa; Anthoathecata; Hydridae
Source: RefSeq, a predicted model, not a curated record
AGAGAGAGAGAGAGAGAGAGAAAGAGAGAGAGAGCUUAAGAUAUAGAGCUUAAUUUUUGUGUAGGAGUUUCUGGUUCAUGCUUUUAAAGAAAAACUUAAACGAGUUAGACGACCUCUCGUUAAUGAUGUCACUGUCAUAGAAUAUAAAAAAAAUUAUGGGCUAACCAAUGGAGGGCGUAAAACAUUACAUGAUUAAUAGAUACACUUGUAGCUUUAAAUAUUUCAAUAAUGACUCAGAUAUUGCCUGCUAAGAGGCUCUACCACUCGAUUGUGGAAGUAUAAAUUUUUUUAUUUAAUAAAUUGAAUAAAGUAGAUUACACUAACAAUUAAUUCAUAGUUUAUAUAUUCAUAUUUGUCAUAGAGUGAAAGAGAGAGAGAGUUAUUUGAAAAAAAGGACUGUUGACUGUAGAAAUUUGUUUCAUUAAUUUUAGAAAAAAAAAUUUAUAGUGUACUCAUAUUACUCUCUUUUUUCUGAACUUUAUCCCUCAUUAAUAAUUCAAUUUCUUGAUUUGCAUGCAUGUCCAUGAAGCAUGCAUGUCCAUGAAAUAAUUAUAAACUAUUAUAAAAAUAGUUUAUAUAAAUUAAGUUUCUAAAAUCAUUUUAAAUACAAUGUUAGAUGCAUUAAUAAAUUUCACAAGUUGCAUGUUUCAGAUAAAUAUUUUAGAAAAAUUUUAUUGUUUACAAGAAGAACACGAUGUCACUGAUGAUCUUUUGGCAUUACUAUCUGAAGAGUGCAAUAAGCUGCGUCCUGAUGUCUAUUUCCUAAAAAGUCAAAUCCGUUUGAUCAUUGGCACUCUCAAGAAACAUUGCCAAAACAGCACUGUAAAGGAUGUUUUAGAUAAAUUUUCCUGUCUCAAGUUUGAGAAAGUUUUGCUAGAAGCUUCAAAUGCUUUGACUAAUACAAAUAUUGAUAGAAAUUUGUUACUUCUUUUGAACAAAAUGUGUAAAGGCUUCCAAACUUUAGUGGAAUUAAAAAUGAGUCUGAAGUCUAAAUGCAGGUCUCUUUUAAUUAAUAUCAAUGAAGAAUCAGACGAGAGUUUGAAGCAGAGGCAGUUGUUCCAUCUUGUUCAAAAAAAGAUGGAUGGUUAUUUUGGCCAACGUGUGUUAAUGCAAUAAAAGCUACCUAUAAUAAUUUUCUAAUCGUUGAUUCCUGCAACAAGGUUUGACUUAAGAGAGUUAAAGUAACUGGAGAUAAAGAAGUAUGUGCAGGAUUUAUUUUCACAACUAAAGAGUUUUCCAAAGAAGAUUAAAGUUUUGGUGGAUCAAAGUUUGAGGAAUGAUUUGGUUUUAACUGGUUUGCAUCUUAUGAAUGAAAUUCUGUAUCUCAAUGAUAUCCUGGCUUAUUUAUACGAUAUCCUGUAAAUCUUAAAAAA